This 72-nucleotide transfer RNA is filed under the name Camelus bactrianus (Bactrian camel). It matches the Rfam family "tRNA". From Rfam's summary of the family: Transfer RNA (tRNA) molecules are approximately 80 nucleotides in length. Lineage: Eukaryota; Metazoa; Chordata; Mammalia; Artiodactyla; Camelidae. RNAcentral also lists the same sequence under 2 other names. The record is from Rfam by way of RNAcentral.
GAGGGUGUAGCUCAGUGGUGGAGUGCCCGCCUAACGUGCACGAGGUCCUGGGUUCCAUCCCCUGUACCUCCA